AACGAACGCUGGCGGCAGGCCUAACACAUGCAAGUCGAACGCCCUAGCAAUAGGGAGUGGCGCACGGGUGCGUAACGCGUGGGAAUAUACCCUUCACUGCGGAAUAACGUUUGGAAACGAACGCUAAUACCGCAUAAUGACUCCGGUCCAAAGAUUUAUCGGUGAAGGAUUAGCCCGCGUUAGAUUAGCUAGUUGGUGAGGUAAUGGCUCACCAAGGCUACGAUCUAUAGCUGGUCUGAGAGGAUGAUCAGCCACACUGGGACUGAGACACGGCCCAGACUCCUACGGGAGGCAGCAGUGAGGAAUAUUGGACAAUGGGGGCGAACCCUAGAUCCAGCCAUGCCGCGUGAGUGAAG
Molecule: ribosomal RNA, 356 nt
Filed under: uncultured bacterium
Lineage: Bacteria
Description: bacterial SSU rRNA
Rfam family: Bacterial small subunit ribosomal RNA
Source: RNAcentral